GAGUGAACGCUGGCGGUAGGCCUAACACAUGCAAGUCGAACGGCAGCACAGUAAGAGCUUGCUCUUACGGGUGGCGAGUGGCGGACGGGUGAGGAAUACAUCGGAAUCUACUUUUUCGUGGGGGAUAACGUAGGGAAACUUACGCUAAUACCGCAUACGACCUACGGGUGAAAGCAGGGGAUCUUCGGACCUUGCGCGAUUGAAUGAGCCGAUGUCGGAUUAGCUAGUUGGCGGGGUAAAGGCCCACCAAGGCGACGAUCCGUAGCUGGUCUGAGAGGAUGAUCAGCCACACUGGAACUGAGACACGGUCCAGACUCCUACGGGAGGCAGCAGUGGGGAAUAUUGGACAAUGGGCGCAAGCCUGAUCCAGCCAUACCGCGUGGGUGAAGAAGGCCUUCGGGUUGUAAAGCCCUUUUGUUGGGAAAGAAAAGCAGCAGGUUAAUACCCCGCUGUUCUGACGGUACCCAAAGAAUAGGCACCGGCUAACUUCGUG
Molecule: ribosomal RNA, 493 nt
Filed under: uncultured bacterium
Lineage: Bacteria
Description: partial 16S ribosomal RNA
Rfam family: Bacterial small subunit ribosomal RNA
Source: RNAcentral